Molecule: long non-coding RNA, 3568 nt
Organism: Pleuronectes platessa (European plaice)
Lineage: Eukaryota; Metazoa; Chordata; Actinopteri; Pleuronectiformes; Pleuronectidae
Exons: 4
Source: RefSeq, a predicted model, not a curated record
AGCAGCCGAUUGUCAAACAGAUAAACGUAUCAAAUCAAACUUCGAAUUAUACUAAUCAAAGGGCCACUGUUGCACCAUGGGUUGUGGUGUACGCGGAUGGGAAAAACAUAGUGUCCAAACAGAUGUCCAGUUUCUGCGAAAAGCGUGGUUUAUUUAACCAAACAGCGAGCAAACAAAGAACAAAGAAAAUUCCUGUGCCUCUCCCGCUCCGGUAAAAAACCAUUUGCCCACCCAGGUGCAUGCUGGUCCCUUACCGACAGCCUACCUAUAUAACUUCAGGUGCCCCCCUACCGUGCCCAAAUGAAACAAAACACAAAUAAUAAACAAGAAACACCUAAAGUAAACAAAUAAUAAACUAGAAUACUAAUAGAAAUCUAAUCAUAAUGAAAUCAAGCAAAUUGACGGAGAAUAACCAAAAAACUAAAUACUCACUAAACAAAAUAAUAAACUAAACAGCACUAAGUACUACAACUAAAUAAAUAGCUCCAACAUUCCGGCCCCUAAUUGUGCACUAAAUCACAAUUACUUUAAUUUAUCAAAGGAGCUAUUCCCUCCACCCAAUCUAUGACUAGACAGUUCAUGCAUUAGCUUCAGUUCACUUUCUUCUUUAUGAUGUACCUGAAACAACAAAAGAGAGAUAUAGAGAAAAAGAGGGAGGGGGAGAGAGAGAAAGUCCAUGGUGUCACAUUCCUGCUUCCAACAGCAGGCAGAGCUUCGUCACAGGCCUCUCCAGAAUGCUGGUCCUGGUCCGAAGGCGCACAGAGCGUACCAGGCCCUUUGCAUCUGCUCUCACAUCCAAGAUUCUCCCCAUCAGCCAAGAUCCUCUUGGGGCUGCAGCGUCUGCAAUGAGGACGAUGUCUCCAGGAACGAGAUUUCUCCUUGGUCUUGUCCAUUUCUGUCUCUCUUGCAUCAUUGAUGUAUUUAAGAACAGUUGUGCUGUCGGUCCAGAAAACUGACUUUUCCAGCUUAAGUUGCAACUCCUUCUGAAGCAUCUUGUCAACUCGAACUGCAAGAACUGCUGCUUCUCAAAUAGGACACUGUUCCAUAUCCAACUUGGCUGGCGUCAGAGAAGUGGUGAAGCUGUGCAGUGGCAGGGUCUCCAAAGUCUCUGGGUUUCAUACAGCGAUCCACAUUGAAUUCAGCCACCUUCUGAAGAUCCUCCAACCACUCAAACCACUUCUUGGAGAGAGAAUGGGGGAUAGCUUCAUCCCACCCCAAGCUUCUCCUACAAAGCUCCUGUAACAACAGCUUGGCUGGAAUGGUGAGUGGGGACAAAAAACCUAAGGGGUCAUAAAGUGAGCUGACCACUGACAAAAUACCUCUUCUUGUCUGUGGCUGUUCUUGCACUGAGGUUCUAAACUUGAAUUUGUCAGUUUCAAUGCACCACUGUAGCCCCAAAGCUCGAUCCAUCGGAAGCUGGUCCACAUCCAAAUCCAGCUCCAUCACUUCCUUUGCUCUGCAGUCUUCAGCAAUUGACAGCAGCACUGUUCGGCUGUUGCUGAUCCAUUUGGAAAGAUUAAAUCCUCCUUUGUGACAAAGCGCAGUCACAUCCUUGACCACUUGCACUGCCACCUCCUCUGAGGCCACUGAUUUCAAGCAAUCAUCGACAUAAAAAUUACACUUUACUGUAUUGACCACUUCAUGGGGGAAAUGUUCGGCAUUGUCAUCUGCUGUUCUCCUCAAUGCAUAAUUUGCACAGCUUGGUGACGACACAGCUCCAAACAAAUGAACUUUCAUGCGAUGUUCCACUGGAGCCUGUGAAACGUCUCCCCCAGGCCACCAGAGAAAGCGGAGAAAGUUGAUGUGCUUUUCAGAAACAUGAACUUGGUGAUACAUUGCUUGGAUGUCGGCCAUUACUGCAACGGGCUCUUGUCUAAAUCGAACAAGGACUCCAACUAGAGAGUUGGUAAAGUCAGGGCCCUGUAAAAGCUGACAGUUCAGUGACGUCCCUUUGUAUGCUGCUCCACAGUCAAAAACAACUCACAGCUUGCCUUUUCUGGGAUGAUAAACCCCGUGAUGAGGGAUAUACCAUACAUUUCCAUCACUCUGUUUAAGUUGAUCAGAAGGCACCACUUCAGCAUAUCCUUGAGCCACCAUGUUGUUUAAAAAUGUGAUGUACUCUCCUUUAAAUUGACCAUUCUUGGCAAACUUUCUUUUCAGGCUCUGGAGGCGCUGUUCUGCAACAUGACGAUUAUUUGGCAUGAGAGGGUUUUCCUGCCUGAAGGGUAAGUCAAUGCAGUAAUGGCUUCCAAUUAACUUUGUGGUGUUAUUCAUAACAUUCAUAAACUUGACAUCCUCUCUGGACAUUUCAAUCUGUUCAUCUGAUGACCUCUCAUUAAAAUCAUGGUUAAACUGUUUAACCAGCAUUUCUUGAAGAUGUUCAACAGAGAUCCGGUUGGAUGUUACAGCAGAGCAGUCACUUUUAUUCUUGUUGCUCCCACCACGAAGUGGACCAUUAAUGACCCAACCGACCCUGGUUCUGACAGCAUAAGGUCCUUCAUCCAGGCUGUUUAUGAGCUCCCAAGGCUCCAUCACUUUUGGUGCAUCAGUUCCAAUGAGCAGAUCAACACCUUCCUCAAUGUCAUGAAGUUGAACAGCCUUGAGAUACGACCACUGAUCAACGUCCUCUUGUCGUGGAAUAUUGAGUGAUGAGACAGGCAUGUUCUUUUGUGUUAAAACAUCAGAUCACAAGCAACAUUUCUCCAUCUUUCCCUUAACUUGUAAGGAAGUUUCACAAUGAUGCUCCUCAUGUUAGAUGGUAAGUCCAGCUCUUUCAUGUUCAGCAGUUGCUCUGUUAAGUUUGAACAUCCACGUAGAAACAAAGAGAAUGAUUGCAACCCUUUAAUGUCCUCACUUUUUACAGGUGUCCAGGUAAGUAUUUUUUCCAUGUAUGCAGCUGCAAUUUUGUGUUCAUUUCCAAAGUGCUCCGCAAGAAGACUCUUGGCUCGGUGGUAUCCCUGCUCUGAAGGCAAGUGCUGACAACUGUGCACCAGGUCUUUUGGCUGCCCCCUGGUGUACUGUUCAAGAAAGUGCAAACAGUCACUCCAAUUGUCUGUUUUCUCCUCCACUCCAUUUUCAAAAGCUCUGAUGAAAGACCUGUAUUGGAGUGGGUCUCCAUCAAAAACAGGGAUAUUCCUAGAUGGGAGGUUAGAGCACAGAUUUUGUUGGACAAGCAACGCAGCAAUGUCAUUUUGUCUUUGCAUAAUGUUCACAAUGUCAUUUUGAUGGUUGUCAGUCAGAGCAGUUUGAUGGUGAGCAUGUCCCAUUUGAGUUCCAUUUACAGUUUGCAUCACAUGAACUGGAGCUUCAACUUUUAAUGUCAUUUCAUCCAUUUGUUUUUGUUUAGGCUUAACCACUGGUGGUUGGAGUUCAGGAGCAGACAAACCAAGAGCAUGAUCUUUUUUUUUUAUUUUAUCAGGCACAAAGGUGUUGGCAUGGGGAUUUAAUUCACUCGCACCGUGAGAGUUGUUCCUUUCAAAAUAAGAGUUCAUGCCGUUUGAAUGUUUUGAGCCACACUGUGAACGGAUUUCCAAGACUUGAAGCUUUGCCUUUGUUGCUGCCAGUUCCG